RNAcentral lists this ribosomal RNA (119 nucleotides) under Propithecus coquereli (Coquerel's sifaka). Lineage: Eukaryota; Metazoa; Chordata; Mammalia; Primates; Indriidae. The record is from RNAcentral.
AUCAAAAUGUAGAACUAGCUGAAUGCACCUGAUUUCAUCUGAUCUUGGAAGCUAAGCAGGGUUGGACCUGGUUAGUACUUGGAUGGGAGACCACCUACGAAUACUGAGUGAUGUAGGCU